This 497-nucleotide ribosomal RNA is filed under the name uncultured bacterium. Its description in RNAcentral is "partial 16S ribosomal RNA". It matches the Rfam family "Bacterial small subunit ribosomal RNA", at positions 28 to 507 of the family's 1533-position model. The record is from RNAcentral.
GAUGAACGCUGGCGGCGUGCCUAAUACAUGCAAGUCGAGCGAACAGACGAGGAGCUUGCUCCUCUGACGUUAGCGGCGGACGGGUGAGUAACACGUGGAUAACCUACCUAUAAGACUGGGAUAACUUCGGGAAACCGGAGCUAAUACCGGAUAAUAUAUUGAACCGCAUGGUUCAAUAGUGAAAGACGGUUUUGCUGUCACUUAUAGAUGGAUCCGCGCCGCAUUAGCUAGUUGGUAAGGUAACGGCUUACCAAGGCAACGAUGCGUAGCCGACCUGAGAGGGUGAUCGGCCACACUGGAACUGAGACACGGUCCAGACUCCUACGGGAGGCAGCAGUAGGGAAUCUUCCGCAAUGGGCGAAGGCUUGACGGAGCAACGCCGCGUGAGUGAUGAAGGUCUUCGGAUCGUAAAACUCUGUUAUUAGGGAAGAACAAAUGUGUAAGUAGCUAUGCACGUCUUGACGGUACCUAAUCAGAAAGCCACGGCUAACUACGUG